AUUGAACGCUGGCGGCAGGCCUAACACAUGCAAGUCGAGCGGAUGGAGGGUGCUUUCUCCUGGUUUCAGCGUCGGACGCGUGAGUAAUGCCUAUGAAUCUGCCUGGUAGUGGUUGAUAACGUCUUCAAACGGGCGCUACUACCGCAUACUUCCUGAGGGUGCUACUUGGUGGUCUUCGGACCUCACGCUCUCAUAUGAGCCUAGGUCGGAUUAGCUAGUUGGUGGGGUAAAUGCCUACCAAGGCGGCCAUCCGUAACUGGUCUGAGAGGAUGAUGAGUCACACUGGAACUGAGACACGGUACAGAAGCCGAGGGGAGGCAGCAGUGGGGAAGAGUGGAAGAUGGGGGAAAGACUGAUCCAGCCAUGGCGCGUGUGUGAAGAAGGUCUUCGGAUGGGAAAGCGCUUUAAGGUGGGAGGAAGGGCAGUAAGUUAAUACAUUGCUGUUUUGACGUUAUCAACAGAAUAAGAACCGGCUAAUAUGGU
This 483-nucleotide ribosomal RNA is filed under the name uncultured bacterium. Its description in RNAcentral is "partial 16S ribosomal RNA". It matches the Rfam family "Bacterial small subunit ribosomal RNA", at positions 30 to 506 of the family's 1533-position model. The record is from RNAcentral.